UACGUAGGCAGCGAGCGUUGUUCGGAGUUACUGGGCGUAAAGCGUGCGUAGGCGGUGCCAUAAGUCUGUUGUGAAAUCUCCCGGCUUAACUGGGAGGGUGCGGUGGAAACUGUGGUGCUGGAGUGUGGGAGAGGUAGGCGGAAUUCCUGGUGUAGCGGUGAAAUGCGCAGAUAUCGGGAAGAACACCCGUGGCGAAGGCGGUUCUCUGGGACGGUACUGACGCUGAGACGCGAAAGCGUGGGGAGCGAACAGG
RNAcentral lists this ribosomal RNA (253 nucleotides) under uncultured bacterium. RNAcentral describes it as "partial 16S ribosomal RNA". It matches the Rfam family "Bacterial small subunit ribosomal RNA", at positions 524 to 776 of the family's 1533-position model. The record is from RNAcentral.